Molecule: long non-coding RNA, 4046 nt
Filed under: Equus caballus (horse)
Lineage: Eukaryota; Metazoa; Chordata; Mammalia; Perissodactyla; Equidae
Description: lncRNA (ENSECAG00000060041.1)
Source: RNAcentral
CUCCAUUUUGACAUUUGUCAUCUUCCUGGAAGGCCACCGUCACGGCGGGCCCAGGAGGGGCAGGACUCAUGGUGAGAUGGGCCUGGAGCACUCUGACUCCCCUGGCCAGACAGGCUCCCCUGUAGCAGCCCCCACAGCCCCCAUUCCUCCUUUCUGCUGCCUUGAUGUCUCCGACAUCCCAUUUCGGCAGACCCUGCUGGGCUGAGGGGGUGCUUCUGCCUUAGAGGACACAGACGAGCAGGCCAGGGCCACAUGCUGACCAUGGCCCUUGUCCAGGCUUCCAGUGAGCUCUGCCUCCCCAGAUGCAGCCCAGGUUCCUGGACCCCCAGCACACAGGCCCCAGCAGCAGCAUCUUCUGCAUCAAGAAGCUCCAGUGUCUGUCUCCGGAGUGCCAGGGCCUUGGGGCACACGCUGGGGCUGCUCGCUGGUGUCCGAUCUCCGACAGCGACCGUCCACAUCCACAUCAGAUGCCCGUCCGGUGAAGAGGCUCCGCGAAACUCUGCUCCCAACAAGGUGAUGUGGUGUUCUGUGGGAGAGACUGCUAACUCAGAGCUGGGGCUGAAGUCCUUCCCUCUGGAGUCACCGUGCAGCCUGCGCGUGUCUGGCGCCUGCAGCCUUGUGCCUCGCAGGGGAUUCUGCCGUCUGUGCUUUCUCGGAGAUGAGGCCCCUCACUGUCACCCAGUGUCGUCCGUGAUGGGCACAGCAUCAGAUCCGGAGCGGGUGCAGGAUGCCGUGGAUCAGGGGCACGUGGCGGUUAGUGGGGGCACUCUGGACAAGUGACCUUCAGGACAAUAUGUUGGUGGAUCCUGGUUAAACAGAGGCAGCCCCCUUCAUGUGGCCAACAUCUGGGGCCUCACGGUGCUGGGGCUGCAGUGGUUCCUACCAGGACCCCGCCCACACGACGUCAGUGCACAGCUCUCCAGAAGGCUUCAGGGCCCUGGGGUCCACAGAACACCCUUCAGGAGAGGCUGGAGUCCGAGGUGGCGACAGGCAGUGGGGUCCAGCUCUGUUCCAGGACCCAGGAAAUGCUCUGUAGGCUCAGGAGUCCUGGAGGCCAGAGGCCCAAGACUCCUGUGGGGUCCACGGUCCCGCCCACCGUCCUGGCGAAGGUGACGGCCCGUACUGCCCGCUCAGACACCCUCCUCGUGUCCUCCUUUCUCCCCCUUGGAAGCCGCCCCAAGGGAGAUGACAUUCAGGACGGAGGAGAAAGAAUUCGUGAAGGCCAGCGGCAGCCCUUCGGGUGGGAGCGCAGAAUAACACACAUCGACCCUCGACGGCUCAGAGUAAACCGCUGGGAGUCCUGACGUCGGGGAGGCUGCACAGAUGGUAGGGUCAGGGACCUCGAGUGGCUGGAGGCGCACGGGAGAGAGGCCUUCCCAGGACAGGGAAGGAAGGGAAGGCUGGGGUCCAGCGGGGGGGGCAUCCGCCCCUGCACUGUGCCCCCCGAGCUUGGCGGGGGUGUCUCUGCAGGGUCUCAGCCCCCAAGCUUACAAAUCCUCCGCCCGAGCUCAGAGGGGCCCCUGCCUGCCGCUCCCCUCAGAGGACGGCGCCCCUGAAGUCAGGAGUCCUCCGACCAGGUGCUUGCGGGAGGCUGCUCCUCCAAGCAGAGGAAAGCGAAGGACACCGCCAUUGAAAUGGCAUCCCAGAAGCUCACACCGGCCCAGAAGGACACCUUCCGCACCGGCCUCUGCCCUGCCUUCUCAGAGCCUCAUUCGUCUUUCAACACCUCACCCCAGACCCUGGGGCCCAUCCCCCAGCCCGCAGCCUGUGCGUGUUUCCAUAGCAACCUGCCCCUGCUGCUGUGGUGACAUCCCAGCGAUGUGAGCUCUUUGAAGGCCGCCCGACCUGGAUCGCUCCGCAGAGUGGGGAGGAGGGGUGCCCGAUGACACUGAGCACAGCCUCCCUUGGGGGCAGGCGGUGAGUGCAGGCUGUGCCUGCUAUCAGCUGCUGUGCCUCGAGCCCUUGACCUCGUUCGAGGACGUCUCGAAGAUGGGGAAACUGAGGCCCAGAGAGAGGGAACCUCCCUUUUCAGUUACAGUAAGAGAAGAGGUCAUGCUGACUGGUGACAACCAGCCCCCCGUCUGGGACACCCCAGAGGAGAAGAGUCGCCACUGAGAAGCGUCCCCUCUGGGUGUGUCCCUGGGGGAUGAAGGCCAGCUGCCCUCCCUCCGGUGGAGCACCAGAGGGCGCUUCCCUCCCCCUUCUCACCCAGAGCCCCCUGGUCUCAAGGCCAGAGCAGGCGAGUUAUCUGCUCCCUCCUGCUGCGCUGAGCCUGGGGGAGGCUGACUGCACAUGGGGAGGGGGACGGCUUCUCACCUCAGCCCAGCGGUCCCAGUGCUGGCGACGUUUCUGGAGCAGCUGAGUUUCUGUCUGGCUGGUGAUCCUCUCUUACAGCAAAGCCGUCGGUACCCCAGCGCGCGCCUGGGGAAUAUCUAGGGCAUCGCAGAGAGGCUGAGCGCGGAGGAGCAAAUGUCAGCAAAGGGUCAGGCGGGGGCCUGGGAGUCACAGCUCCGGGGUCCUGGAUGGAACGCCUCCCAAGCAGAGGAGAGGGUAGAGGGGGCUCCACGGGAGGAGGGCUGACCUGGAAAGCUCCCCCAUGGGGGAGGCCGGCUCUCCACUGAGACCCCAGGAUGCCCUGUGUCCUCUCCUCCCUCAGCUGCUGACUUGGCUCAGACUGCACGCCACUGAAGCAGAAGUCAGUUUCAAGUUGAGGAGGAAGAUGGAUUUUCCCAGAGGCUCUUGGCCUCCUCCCUGGAAAGAGGCAGCUGCGGAUGCGGGUAACUCCUGAGGAGCCCCGAGGUUCCACCCCCUGGCUGCUGGCGGGAGAUGCUGACCGGGCCAUCCCAAGACCCGCCAGCUCCAAGCCCCACGGAGCCAGGAGAGCUGGCGGCCCCACAGCACCAGGUGCCAGGAAUCACUGGGGUGACUCCAGGCCUGGAGCCCAGGGGCAGUUUGGUGCUGUGGUCACCACAGGACAGUGGACGCACUGAUGGGUUGCGGAUCCUGACUCCUCCAUUUGACCUGUAAAAUGGGGUUCCAGCACCCCCAGUUCUUCACGGCUGCCCAGGUCCGUGCCCUUGUCCUGGGGAGCUUAUGUUGGACAGAGUCGGUGUGCCUUUGGAAGGAAAGAUGAAUAAACCAGAGACUAGGGACCCUCCUGGUCUUAUCAGGACAGUAGGGCUGCCCUCCUGAGACUAGGGCUCCCGCCGGGCCUGAGCUCAGGCCCACCUUCCGGCCCCAAGCGGCAUCACAGCAAGGGGGGUGGGUGGGACCAGGAAACCCCCUUCUGCCCACUCUGCUCCCAGGAAAGGCAAUCCCCACCCUGAGGGGCUCCAGGAGCCCAGAGACCCUGUGUCCUGAGCCCCAGCUCCACCCUGUGUGGGCAGGCGCACUUGUUCACUGUGGCUGGACCCCUGUCCCUGUCACUGCAUGGAGGUGUCACCCAGGCCUGGCCCCUCCCAAAGGGACAGUCCACUCUGCCCUUGACCCAGCCCCCUCCCUUCAAGUGAGGGUCCUGUGGCCAAAGGCACCCCUUCUCCCCGGCCCCAGCUGCCCAGGAUGGCCAGGCGCCCUCCCUCCCAGCCCCAGCGAGGGGUGGGUGACAGGAAGGACUUACAGCUGAUGCCCUUCUUGCCGUGACACACCUCCGGUUUCCACAUCACUGGCCCGUCAGUACCGGCAGGACUAUCUGACAAACAGAGGCCUCUCUCCACCGAAUUUUUUAAAAGGCAUAUAAAAUAUUUACCUGAUCAUUUUUGCUACCUGAAGAAAAUAAUUUGCUUUCCGUCCUCAGGAGCCACGACCCCCUCAGCUCUGGGAAGUGAUGGCCAGCCCCCCGCAAUUCCCUGAUGGCACACAGGGUGGGGUCUGACCACAGACCAUGGGAACUUUAUUUUCCAAGAUGUCAGCCUGGCUGGGGCCCCUGCCUGGGUGCCCACCCACGUGGGUGGGUUUUCACUGCCUGGUCUGCCUCAUGCUUUUUACUGUGUUUUACUUCCUUAUUGGUGAAAUGAUUAAAGAUUUGUUUGAUGUUUUUAAAGUAAAAC